RNAcentral lists this ribosomal RNA (253 nucleotides) under uncultured bacterium. RNAcentral's name for it is "partial 16S ribosomal RNA". It matches the Rfam family "Bacterial small subunit ribosomal RNA", at positions 524 to 776 of the family's 1533-position model. The record is from RNAcentral.
GACAGAGGGCCCAAGCGUUAGGCGGAAUCACUGGGCUUAAAGCGUGUGUAGGCGGACUUCUAAGUACCUUGUGAAAUCCCACGGCUCAACCGUGGAACUGCUUGGUAUACUGGUUGUCUUGGGCCAUCUAGGGGCUAGCGGAACAAACGGUGGAGCGGUGAAAUGCGUAGAUAUCGGGAGGAACACCAGUGGCGAAGGCGGUUACCUGGAGCUUUGCUGACGCUGAUGCGCGAAAGCGUGGGGAGCGAUCCGG